This 434-nucleotide ribosomal RNA is filed under the name uncultured bacterium. Its description in RNAcentral is "partial 16S ribosomal RNA". It matches the Rfam family "Bacterial small subunit ribosomal RNA", at positions 27 to 507 of the family's 1533-position model. The record is from RNAcentral.
GAACGAACGCUGGCGGCAUGCCUAACACAUGCAAGUCGAACGAGACCUUCGGGUCUAGUGGCGCCCGGGUGCGUAACGCGUGGGAACCUGCCCUUAGGUUCGGAAUAACUCCCCGAAAGGGGUGCUAAUACCGGAAAAUGUCUUCGGACCAAAGAUUUAUCGCCUUUGGAUGGGCCCGCGUUGGAUUAGCUAGUUGGUAGGGUAAAAGCCUGCCAAGGCGACGAUCCAUAGCUGGUCUGAGAGGAUGAUCAGCCACACUGGGACUGAGACACGACCCAGACUCCUACGGGAAGCAGCAGUGGGGAAUAUUGGACAAUGGGCGAAAGCCUGAUCCAGCAAUGCCGCGUGAGUGAUGAAGGCCUUAGGGUUGUAAAGCUCUUUUACCCGGGAUGAUAAUGACAGUACCGGGAGAAUAAGCUCCGGCUAACUCCGUG